GCCUCUUUAGCUCAGUGGCUAGAGCACUGGUCUUGUAAACCAGGGGUCGUGAGUUCAAUCCUCACAGGAGGCA
RNAcentral lists this transfer RNA (73 nucleotides) under Phlebotomus papatasi. Its description in RNAcentral is "tRNA tRNA-Thr". It matches the Rfam family "tRNA". From Rfam's summary of the family: Transfer RNA (tRNA) molecules are approximately 80 nucleotides in length. Their secondary structure includes four short double-helical elements and three loops (D, anti-codon, and T loops). Lineage: Eukaryota; Metazoa; Arthropoda; Insecta; Diptera; Psychodidae. The record is from RNAcentral.